GACGAACGCUGGCGGCGUGCUUAACACAUGCAAGUCGAACGGAAAGGCCCUGCUUUUGUUGGGUGCUCGAGUGGCGAACGGGUGGGUAACACGUGAGUAACCUGCCCUUGACUUUGGGAUAACUUCAGGAAACUGGGGCUAAUACCGGAUAGGAGCUCCUGCUGCAUGGUGGGGGUUGGAAAGUUUCGGCGGUUGGGGAUGGACUCGCGGCUUAUCAGCUUGUUGGUGGGGUAGUGGCUUACCAAGGCUUUGACGGGUAGCCGGCCUGAGAGGGUGACCGGCCACAUUGGGACUGAGAUACGGCGCAGACUCCUACGGGAGGCAGCAGUGGGGAAUAUUGCACAAUGGGCGGAAGCCUGAUGCAGCAACGCCGCGUGCGGGAUGACGGCCUUCGGGUUGUAAACCGCUUUCGCCUGUGACGAAGCGUGAGUGACGGUAAUGGGUAAAGAAGCACCGGCUAACUACGUG
RNAcentral lists this ribosomal RNA (468 nucleotides) under uncultured bacterium. RNAcentral's name for it is "partial 16S ribosomal RNA". It matches the Rfam family "Bacterial small subunit ribosomal RNA", at positions 28 to 507 of the family's 1533-position model. The record is from RNAcentral.